Molecule: long non-coding RNA, 1152 nt
Filed under: Ficedula albicollis (Collared flycatcher)
Lineage: Eukaryota; Metazoa; Chordata; Aves; Passeriformes; Muscicapidae
Description: lncRNA (ENSFALG00000023855.1)
Source: RNAcentral
UUGAGCAGGAGUAGAGUUAAAAGAGAAGGCUCGAUGCUGGAAGAGAAGGGAGGGAAGAGAACACGGGGUUUGGGCUUAGGGAGCAGGAGGAGGGCUCACCCCUCGGGCAGCAGAGUGAUGCUGUGGGGAGCAGGGAUGGUGUCGGGAGGCUGAGGGCACUCACCAUGGUGCAGAAUGGUGACAUGGUGCUGUGGGGAGCAGGGAUGGUGUCAGGGGGCUGAGGGCACUCACCGUGGUGCAGAAUGGUGACAUGGUGCUGUGGGAGCAGGGAUGGUGUUGGGAGGCUGAGGGCACUCACCGUGGUGCAGAAUGGUGACAUGGUGCUGUGGGGAGCAGGGAUGGAGUGUGGAGAGGUAAAGGGGCAGGAUGUGACUGUCUUUGAAUCCCAACAGAGGGCACGGGGAGCCCACAGAUGAAAGGCUGAGGCAGUGAGCUUUCAUGGGCUCUUGAAUUUUGUGGGAAAACAAAAAAAGACAUCAAAAGGAAAGGGUUAAGUGGCAGUGGUGGUGGAGAUUUGAGUACUUAUAAACAGGGCAGCUGGGGCCUAUGGUGGAUUUGUCCCAGUAAGAAAUUGGCUUUUACUGCUUAUGUGGGAAAGGAGAAUUCAAAGUACCAGGCACUGACAGUGUUUUGAGUUAUGAAAGGAUUUUAAUGUUUGCCAAAAAACCCCUAAAGAACAAUCCAAACUCUUUUAUAAAUAAACCUUUGUACUGUUAAAGCCUUCUGAAUCAUGAUUUUGCACAAGGGAUGAAGUCAAACAAAGCAUGGUGUGUUCUUUUCUUUUGGAGGGGUCUUUGCCUAUAGAUCUGGAUGGGAAAUAUGUUUCCUAUCUUCCCAUAGUUUCUGAUUAGUCAGUGGGACAAACCUGGGAGUCGUGCAUUUUUUCAUGGAAUAUGAAAAAGAGCACAUAUACCCCAUGACCUCAUUUCCUCCUCCUGGAUCACUAGGCGUUAAAUUCCUCCUCCAUCCUUCUCAGAGCAGUGACCUAAGGACCUUGCUGUUCUAGAGCAGAUAGUAUGCAAAAAAAAAAAAAAAAAAUUCUGGUGAGGGGGGGGGGGGGGGGGGGGGGGGGGGGGGGGGGGGGGGGGGGGGGGGGGGGGGGGGGGGGGGGGGGGGGGGGGGGGGGGGGGGGGGGGGGGGGGGGGGGGGGGG